RNAcentral lists this ribosomal RNA (200 nucleotides) under uncultured bacterium. RNAcentral's name for it is "partial 16S ribosomal RNA". It matches the Rfam family "Bacterial small subunit ribosomal RNA", at positions 524 to 722 of the family's 1533-position model. The record is from RNAcentral.
UACGUAGGGUGCAAGCGUUAAUCGGAAUUACUGGGCGUAAAGCGUGCGCAGGCGGUUGUGUAAGACAGGUGUGAAAUCCCCGGGCUUAACCUGGGAAUUGCAUUUGUGACUGCACGACUAGAGUGUGUCAGAGGGGGGUGGAAGUUCCACGUGUAGCAGUGAAAUGCGUAGAUAUGUGGAGGAACACCAAUGGCGAAGGC